GAUGAACGCUGGCGGCGUGCCUAAUACAUGCAGGUCGAGCGAACAGACGAGGAGCUUGCUCCUCUGACGUUAGCGGCGGACGGGUGAGUAACACGUGGAUAACCUACCUAUAAGACUGGGAUAACUUCGGGAAACCGGAGCUAAUACCGGAUAAUAUAUUGAACCGCAUGGUUCAAUAGUGAAAGACGGUUUUGCUGUCACUUAUAGAUGGAUCCGCGCCGCAUUAGCUAGUUGGUAAGGUAACGGCUUACCAAGGCAACGAUGCGUAGCCGACCUGAGGGGGUGAUCGGCCACACUGGAACUGAGACACGGUCCAGACUCCUACGGGAGGCAGCAGUAGGGAAUCUUCCGCAAUGGGCGAAAGCCUGACGGAGCAACGCCGCGUGAGUGAUGAAGGUCUUCGGAUCGUAAAACUCUGUUAUUAGGGAAGAACAAAUGUGUAAGUAACUAUGCACGUCUUGACGGUACCUAAUCAGAAAGCCACGGCUAACUACGUG
Molecule: ribosomal RNA, 497 nt
Filed under: uncultured bacterium
Lineage: Bacteria
Description: partial 16S ribosomal RNA
Rfam family: Bacterial small subunit ribosomal RNA
Source: RNAcentral